Molecule: unclassified non-coding RNA, 513 nt
Filed under: Liquorilactobacillus mali
Lineage: Bacteria; Bacillati; Bacillota; Bacilli; Lactobacillales; Lactobacillaceae
Description: Lactobacillus mali partial contains 16S ribosomal RNA, 16S-23S intergenic spacer, and 23S ribosomal RNA
Rfam family: Bacterial large subunit ribosomal RNA (bases 330-513)
Source: RNAcentral
AGAGUUUGUAACACCCAAAGCCGGUGAGGUAACCUUUAUGGAACCAGCCGUCUAAGGUGGGACAGAUGAUUGGGGUGAAGUCGUAACAAGGUAGCCGUAGGAGAACCUGCGGCUGGAUCACCUCCUUUCUAAGGAUAUAACGGAAACCUACACACGAUUGUUGAAACUUUGUUUAGUUUUGAGAGGUCUACUCUCAAAUUUGUUCUUUGAAAACUAGAUAAUAUUUUUCUAAAAUAAUUAACAAACCGAGAACACCGCGUUUUAAAGAGUUUAAAACAAGAGAAAUCUUGAACGCUAAACUCAUAACCGCUUUACCGUACGUAAAGAUAGGUCAAGCUAUUAAGGGCGAAUGGCGAACGCCUUGNCCCUAGCAGCCGAUGAAGGACGGGACUAACACCGAUAUGCUUCGGGGAGCUGUACGUAAGCUAUGAUCCGGAGAUUUCCGAAUGGGGAAACCCAAUAGUUUUAAUCGACUAUUACUGCUGGUUGAAUACAUACACCAGUCAUAGGUAA